RNAcentral lists this long non-coding RNA (256 nucleotides) under Elaeis guineensis (African oil palm). Its description in RNAcentral is "long non-coding RNA (EGUI_LNC079885)". Lineage: Eukaryota; Viridiplantae; Streptophyta; Magnoliopsida; Arecales; Arecaceae. The record is from RNAcentral.
UCUCCCUCUUGUCCAUGUUUAGACAUGGAUGUCUUCUCUUCUUCUUGUCCAAAAGUUGGACAAAAUUCCUACAUCUCUAUUGUAGAGAUUUGGUGCAUAGAUUUUAAGAAGAAAAGAGAAGAAAGGUUCUUCUUAUGAUCUCUAGUGUAGAGAUCAAGAUCCUCCUACAUCUUCUUGUUCUCUAAGAGUAUCCUAAGAGAAAAAAAAUUUUCAACCGUCAAGAUACGAUAUCUGCAAGGGAGCUAGCAUCCCGGUG